This 497-nucleotide ribosomal RNA is filed under the name uncultured bacterium. Its description in RNAcentral is "partial 16S ribosomal RNA". It matches the Rfam family "Bacterial small subunit ribosomal RNA", at positions 28 to 507 of the family's 1533-position model. The record is from RNAcentral.
GAUGAACGCUGGCGGCGUGCCUAAUACAUGCAAGUCGAGCGAACGGACGAGAAGCUUGCUUCUCUGAUGUUAGCGGCGGACGGGUGAGUAACACGUGGAUAACCUACCUAUACGACUGGGAUAACUUCGGGAAACCGGAGCUAAUACCGGAUGAUAUUUUGAACCGCAUGGUUCAAAAGUGAAAGACGGUCUUGCUGUCACUUAUAGAUGGAUCCGCGCUGCAUUAGCUAGUUGGUAAGGUAACGGCUUACCAAGGCAACGAUGCAUAGCCGACCUGACAGUGUGAACGGCCACACUGGGACUUAGCCACGGUCCAGACUCCUAAGGGAUGCAGCGGUUGGGAAUCUUCCGAAGUGGGCGAAGACCUGACGAAGCGACACCACGUGAGUGAUGAAAGUCUUCGGUUCGGAGAACGCUGUUAUGAGGGGAGAACAGAUGUGUAAGUGACUGUGCACGUCGUAACGGUACCUAAUCAGGAAGCUACGGCGAACUACGUG